Molecule: long non-coding RNA, 5069 nt
Organism: Felis catus (domestic cat)
Lineage: Eukaryota; Metazoa; Chordata; Mammalia; Carnivora; Felidae
Exons: 7
Source: RefSeq, a predicted model, not a curated record
UGAGAUCAUGACCCGAGCUGAAGUUGGACGCUCAACCACUGAGCCACCCAGGUGCCCCUCCACAAAAGAAUUUUAGGAAUCUGUAUAUUGUCUUUACUUCCAAAGAAUCUUCCAGAGGCUAGGGGGGUUUGCAUGACAGCCUCAGAUGACUGAGGCCAGCCUGACCUGCUCUGCAUUUCCAAGAAGUUCUAGCCUUUCUAGGAAUAGAUGCUGUUAGAUUCAGGGCGUCAACUGGCCCUUUUUGCUUUUAUUCAAGGCAUGAGAUAAGCUACCAAGGGACUCUCCACACUGCAAUGAACAUUCAGACUCCUAAACUGGUCCAUGAUUGAUUAGGAAAAUGAGAGCAUCUACAGAUAUUCUGGUGUCCUCAUGGAGGACCAGCGGUGACUCCCUAUUGAUCCUGACAUCCGAUACAAGCGUCUUCACUGACUGCCAAUUGCUCAGCCCAUCUUUCAAAUCUAAUUUUCAUUACAACUCAACAUUAACUCUCAAAGAGACACAGAAUGUGAAGAGGGGAGGGGCAGAGAGAGGGGGACACACAGAAUCCGAAGCAGGCUCCAGGCUCUGAGCUGUCAGCACAGAACCCGACUCGGGGCUCAAACUCACAGACCGCGAGAUCAUGACCUGAACCAAAGUUGGACCCAGACGCCUCUGGCCACCUUUUUAAAGCCGGGCCAUUUUCCCAGAUUCCUUUGUUGGUAAGUGAGGCCAUGCAAUCAAGAUCUCUCCAAUGAAAUGCGAGCAGAAGUGACGUGCCACCAUUUUGACCGGUUUAUAAAAUCUCUACACAUGACCACUCCUUUAUUCUCCCUCUUGGCUUCCUGGGACUUCAAUAUCCAUCAUGACCUUACAAGCUAUGUGUCGAAGACAGAGCUUGGGUCCCCGAGCUUCACUGCUAUCCCAAACUCUCACCCUGGACUAUUAAAUGAAGAAGAAAUUAUCUUCUUGUUGGCUACGUUGUUCUAUGCUGUUGAAAUGUUGAUAUAUAUAUUAGUUAUAGACAUAGACAAUUAGAUAUAUUACUGCAACCUACUCUAACACUAAUUGAGAGAGAGCACUUAGCCAAAAUCUAUUCUCAUUGCACCUAUGGGAAUGUUUUUCUCCUAACAGUUAAUCUGACUGUGGGGUGUGGUUAUUUGUCUUGUUGUUGUUUUUCUGCAGCAUCCAAACAACUUUACUACUUUAAGAGAAAAUCCCCAAAGAGAUGGAACAAAGGGCCCUCCCUGUCUCAAUCUAUGGAUGCCAAAGUGGGGCAGAUAUUUCUUUUCCUCAUCUCUGGCAGCUAGCAUAGGUGUUUGACCACAGCUUGACCCAUCAGAUACUCUACCACUUUGAAUCUUGAGCAAGUGGUACAAAGAUGCGAGGGUCCUCAGAGGUUUUUCAUGGCACUUUUGGUGUCAAAAAUUGCGUUGUGUGGGACUGAAUGGCCAGUGGUGAUGAGUAGUGUUGCACCAGCAGUGUCUUUCCUUCUUUUGGAAUGUUCUUGGCCAUGUGUUGUUUCUGUUCCCUUUUCUUAACUGUGGUAGUUUAUACUGUUCAAUUAAACUAUGUCUUCUAGAAUUUCCUUUUCUGUAUGUAACAAGUUAUAGUGGGCAAAAGAGGAAUUUGUGGAGCGCCUGCGUGUCUCAGUUGGUUAAGCAUCUGACCCUUGACUUUGACUCAUGUCAUGGUCUCAUGGUUCAUGAGAUCAAGCCCUGCCCGCAUCAUCUAUACAGAUCUCUCUCUCCCUCUCUCUCUGCCCCUCCCCUGCUCUCUCUCUCUCAAAAUAAAUGAAUAAGCUUUAAAAAUAAAGAAGAAGAAUUUGUGUAAGACUGUGAACUCGGAAGGCAGAAGUGAAACAACAAACGUUACUCUCUGAAGGUCUUCAUGACUAGAUGCGGUGACAGAAUUAAAGGUUCCAGGCAGUACUUGCUCUCUUACCUCCCACCUCCAGCUUUUCUUCCCAGUUAGUGGCCCUUUGACUAACAGCAGCCUCAAGACCACCACCAUUCAUUUGGUGUGUGGCUCGCUGAAGAGAAGCCCAGCUUCCUUAGGUAAUCCCACAAGCCUUGCGAUCCCACUUUGGUGGCUGAAUGUGCUUGGUGGUUGACUCCUUUCUGAUCCUCCCACUUCCUACUGGACGCCCACUUCCCAGCAACUCCUAUAAUUGUCUUUUGGCCUAAUUUCCAUAAUAAAUUCCUCAUCAUAAAACACACAUGGUUCUGCUUCUAACAUCUCCCUGUUGAUCUCUGAAAACCCACACUGUUUACCCUGGCCAGCAAGGCCUUCUGUGACCAAGGCUCUGACUCUCCAGCAUCAUCUUGUGAAGUUCUUGUGCUUCAAACUGAGUUUCGCUCUAGAAUACUCUAGCCUCUGUGUAUCUUAUAUAGUUUCACACCUCUGUGAUUUUUGCUUAUUCUGUUUUUCCCCUCAAAAUACACUCCUUUUGCACUUUUGUGUAAUUAAUUUCUGUUGCCUCCUCAAGCUUAGGCCCAGGUAUUAUCUCCUCCAAUAGUAUUUGGGUGUCACCAUGGACCAGGUUAAGUGCCCCUCCCUUGGGCUUCCAUUGGCCUCUCCAUGAUGUCCCAUAUACAUUGUUUUGAACCCUGCUAUUUCCCCUCCCUGGACUAUAACUUUCUCGGAGACAGGAACUAUGUCACAUUUGUUUUUAAAUCCUUAGUGUCUGUACAGAGCCUAACACAAAAUAGGCUUGCAAAGUGUUUUUUAAAGUGAGCAGAACUAGCUGUUCUAAAUGAGUUUGGCUUGAUAAAUUACAUCUCGGUAUCUUCAGAAAAUCAACACAAUGCUAAAACACCAUGUAUAAUAAGAACAAGCAAAUGGAGGUAAAUAUGGUAGAAAAUGGGUGGUUAAGGUAGUGGAUUUUAUGCCCCAAUAAAUAAACAGUAAUCACUGGAAAUCAACAAAGGGUCCCCAAGAAAAUAUUUGUUGGUUCCCAGUCAUUUAUGAAAGAUAUUCUUUGAGCCAGGCACUGUAUUAGACACUCAACAUACAAAGGUAGCUAAUUUUAGCCCUGCAGUGAGUUCAAGUUUCAUGGGACAGCCACACCUGAGCAGCAUCUGCAUAGGUACAGUAAUAGCUGCCUUCAUGACCUAUGGAAAACUUUACCCUAAAGCUGGUGAUUAACAGAUCAGUGUUUACCCGAAGAUACACUUAAAGUAACAAGCACUGAUCUUUUUCUCUUUUCUCUUCACCUACUUUUGUUAGUGAUAUAUAUCAUGACAUUGGAGAGAGAGUUAUAUCGGUGGCUGAAUCAAAGUUGGGAGGGAUGGUAAAGAUGGUAAGUAGGAUCUACAACUCAUUGUGGUUGCAAUAAUAAAAACAAAAUUCAAUCAGAUGAAUGUAACGUUCUGUACACGAGCCUUAAGUCCCAGUGUCCCUAGGUAGAGGUUACCGCAAGAUGCAUUCCAACGGGAAAGAACUUUCUAACAAUUGGAGCCAUUGUCCAGAAGUGGAACAGACUAUCCUGGGAGAUCACGUGCUGCCCUCACUGGAGCUCUGAAGCAGAGGCCGGAAACCCCCGUGGAUGCGGUGAGAUCUCAGCGUUGUGUUGUUUCACACACCCUGGCCUCAACCACAUGAAGAAUCUUAUUUGUCUGUUGUUGGGUCAAGAGAUGUUCCCUCCAGCUGUUGAGAAUCUUGUCGCCUGGGUAAAAUAACAGGGCAUAUUUUACAAGAGCUAUUAAUAUGGGCUGUAAGUGUGCUGUGAGGCACCAGGCCAACAGCUGGAUGGAAAUGGCAGGUUCUGGGCCAGCUGAAACCCUGCUUUCAAGUGUUGCAUGUUGCGCGCACACACAUAAACACACACACAUGUGCGCACACGCAUACACACAACCAGCUUGGGAAUGUUAAACGGCUCCAGAUUUAUUUUUUAAUAUGAACUAAAAUGUGGAGUGUGGCCUAGAGGUACACAGAACCCGGCGAGCCUGCUCCUUCACGCCACAGGCCGGAGGCAUCUGGCCCAGGCCUAAAAGCUGCUGGAGCUCCGCGAAGAUGAAGGGUUCGGGAAGGCAUGCCCUCCUCCUCAGCCAGGUGACCAGGCAGAGGAACCGCAGAGCAACCCGGGCCGUCACAGCAUCUGGGUGAUUACCUAGUCAGAUUGCCACCGCACAACAGUGAGAUCUCUCUUCUUCAGGCAGUCAACGUCCCUUGGUGAGUCAUUAGAAAAAGUAAGAUGCUACCUAGAUUGUACAUAAAAUACAAACACUUGUAUUUUAUGUUCCAUCCCUCAGCCAUCAUGUUCCUGCCUCACAAAAGUCACAGAUUUACUCCGGUCAUGACCGAAAGGAAAGGGCGGCGGAAUGCGCUGAAGGUGGAGUUGAGUGAAAUGUUUGCACUUGCUGAAAGUCUGAACUCAGACAAGGCGUCAGGAUUUUCUUACUGGGACCAGAGGCUGUCAGGCUGAUUUGAUAGGGUGCUAUUGCCAAAAUCAAAAUACAUCCGAACAGAGAGCUGCUUCUGAGGGCUCGGAGAAGCAGUAGUCAAAGCAGUACCAUGAGAAUUUGUCUUCAGAACCAUCCGACUUCCCUUGCCUUUGGAGACAUACGCCUCUCCCUUCUGCCUCCAUCUUCGGGAGCUCCACGCUGUCUCCUGUGCUCUCCUACCUACUAUAGCUGGUGCCGAGCAAAGAAGGGUAACACGGGACACAUCGACCUACCUUCUCCACUUGACAGCUUUCCAAGUAUCUGAGGAGAGUAACCACAUCUUUCCUUCGCCUCCUUUUAGCCAAGUUAAUCAUUCCCGGUUCUUUCAUUUGUUCCUCAUUUGACAUGGUUUCCAGAUUCUGCCAGACAUUUUCCCUCCCCACCGCCCGUCAGGACUGCCAACUCUGAACAAACUCUAGUUUCCCAAUGCUAUAGAAUAUGGUAUCAGAGGCGGAACACAAUUCUCCAAGGUUCCAGAACUGACAUAGAGAUAGCACAUGACCUAGAAUUUGGUAUCUGUACUUCCUUUGAUGGGGUUUGCUAGCUACCCCAGCUUUCUUUCGGUGAAAAUUUUUUAGACAUACUGUGCAUCAGGCAUGGCACUGGAGAGACAAUAAUGAACAAGACCCAGUCCUCACCCUUGAAGAA